RNAcentral lists this long non-coding RNA (1313 nucleotides) under Homo sapiens (human). Its description in RNAcentral is "HSALNT0023671". Lineage: Eukaryota; Metazoa; Chordata; Mammalia; Primates; Hominidae. The record is from RNAcentral.
UUCUCCAACUCAUGCUCUGCAGAAGGGGGUUUUGACAUAAUUUGGUGUCAGAAGUAGAAUUGAAGCUGGUUAGUUGGACAGAUGGACAACCCCUGAAAUUGAGUGAAUUGCCUGUGCUGAGCCCUUUUGAGCUCUCCACCUCCGUGGCUGACCUUUUCUACCCUGCUGAAUCUCCUCUCAGAUUCCUGGACUCCUUUUUGGGCUAAGGAAUUGGGUUACUUUGUGCCCCGCCUCUGCCCGCAGGGAAGACCAUUCCUGGAUUUACCCUUCGAGGGAGCAGUAGAAGCGGAUCUGGCAUGAAGUGGGGGACACAACUCCCCUUAUGCUCCCAGCACAUCUCCUGGGCUGAGGCCAUCUCAGAUUGGAAGACCAGCUUUCCAAAGCAAGUCUCCUCCACAUCAUGAAGGAGAAAAAGGUGAAACAUUUGAUGUCCUGAUGGUAAUAGGAUCACAGGCUCUAAAACAUGAGGGAGGUGGGGCUGGACAAAGUCUUUAGGAGACUGCUGAAUUGUUGACUUUAUUCCAAGUCAGGAUCCCGAGUAAUCACUGAGCCUCAGUAUAAUUAUAUGCACAUGAGAAGCUAUUUAUUUCUUGCAUUCUGCUUAUCUUUGCCAAGAAAACACUCCUCCCCCAUGCCUUAAAAUGCCCAGAGACAUGGUUCUGGAUGAGCCACUUGGAGGGCUAAGGGCACCUGCUGGCUGAGGCCCAUGAGAACACACCAGCCCUGUGGGGAAAGUGUGGAGCUCAUGUACCCACUGCCCUUUCCCUGCUCAGAGCAGGGCAUCCCGACAGCAGCUAUGAAUGCACCUGCUCUGAGCAUCUCCCCGCCAGGCUCUGUGCACUCCAUCAGGGUCCUCUUCUGAGCCUGGCACUGCUCACCUGGGCAGAGAGUCCACUCAAGCCCCAGAGUCCUUGGCUUCAUUGGAAGUUCCUCCUGGGAGCAUCAACACAGCCCUUUCCCCCGUAUCCACUGGCUUUUGGGGAGCUGGGCCUGGGAAGCCCUUUUCUCUCCCUACGCUGUAUUCAUCCUGCCAGCCAAGCUGGAGCCUCUGCAUUUUUUAGUCCAAUUAUUGGCAGCUGUACAGGUUUCCCAGAACACCUGGCCCUCCUCACCCUCAUUCUGUGGCAUUAUUUAAUCAAACUGGCUAGGAGUAUUUAUAGCUCCCCUGAAAGGCAGCAGCCGCUCCAUUCCCGGGAAAGUGGAACAUUGAGACAUUAAAGAGUAUUUUCAAAAGAAAAAAAGUCCUCUCACAGACUCAUGAUGUUGCCAUCCCAAUGUGUCUUCCAAAAAUAGGCCUCCCGGACAGCUCCUCG